UUGACCUCGAAUCAGGUAGGGAUACCCGCUGAACUUAAGCAUAUCAAUAAGC
This 52-nucleotide ribosomal RNA is filed under the name Phyllactinia taurica. Its description in RNAcentral is "Leveillula taurica partial 28S rRNA". The record is from RNAcentral. Lineage: Eukaryota; Fungi; Ascomycota; Leotiomycetes; Helotiales; Erysiphaceae. RNAcentral also lists the same sequence under 2 other names.